Molecule: unclassified non-coding RNA, 2570 nt
Filed under: Polistes dominula (European paper wasp)
Lineage: Eukaryota; Metazoa; Arthropoda; Insecta; Hymenoptera; Vespidae
Description: cCR4-NOT transcription complex subunit 10, transcript variant X2
Source: RNAcentral
AUACGUCACUGCUUACACCUGGAAUUAUCAAUGAUGAAGGCCAGAUAGAUAUUAUGUAGUGAAACGAAACACACAGUUAACCUAUUUAGCAGAAUUAAAUUAAAAUUUUUGUAUUUUUCAUUAUAUUACAAUGGCUGAAAUAUCUGAAGUACAAAGUAAAGAUAUUGGACAAGCAGUAAUAACAGAACAGGAACGUGAAUUAGCUCAAAAUGCAUUAUUCGAAUUUCAAAAAGGUUCAUAUACAUCUUGUUUAAAUUAUUUAAAUAAAUUGGAAACUCUCAGGCCAAAGGAUCUUAAAGUAAUGCAUAAUAAGGUUGUGGUAGAGUACUAUAAAAGUGAUUUGAAAAAAACAGAAUUAAUGAGAAAAAGUUUGAAUGCAAUAUGUGGACAAAUGUCUACUACAGAUUUGGGUGAUGCUAUAGAUGAUGUUGAAAAAUGUGUCAUGAGAUAUAAUCAAGCAGUUUUGUUAUAUCAUACUGGGCAGUAUACUGCAGCGUUACAAAUUAUGAAUAGAUUGUUUGCUUAUAUCGAACCAUUGGAAGAAAGUUUAGCACACAAAGUUUGUUCGCUUCUAAUUGAAUUGCAUAUAAUAACGGAGCAACCUGAUGCAGCACUAUUACUGAUAAAUUAUAUUGAAAGUCAAUUUAUUUCAACGGAUAAUUCUAAGAUUGCAUCGGUAGAUAAAGAAGGCGUAAUGAAAGUUGUAAAAGAACAGAAGGAACAGAAGAAAGAUAGUAAUGAUAUAGUUACAGAUCUAUUUAAAAUAAAGCUAUUAAAAUAUAAAGCUAGAAUAUACCUUUUAACACAUCAAUUAAAAUUAUGUAAACGGGAAUGGAAAACAUUAGUUUCUUUAGGAACUCCAGUAAAUAUAUCAACGCUAUGCUUGAAAGCAAAUUUGGAAUAUUUAAAAGGAAAUCAUAAAAAGGCUAUAAAAUUGUUAAACUCCCUCGCUUCAGAAACUUCGGAUUUCAAAUCUUGUGGAAAAUUUUCUGCAGUCUUAUAUUAUAAUAACAUGGCGUGUAUACAUCUAGCCAUGGGUAAACCAAAUUUAGCAUGUUUUUAUUUACGACAAGCUUUAUACGAAAAUAAAACUGCUGUAGAAAGUGUGCAAGUAAAAGAUACUGAUCCUUUAUCUUCGCAACCAUUGUACACACUUGGUGGAAAUAAACAUUAUGAAUUAAUGUACAGUCUGGGUACAUCAUAUUUAUAUGCUGGUCAUGCAUCAAAAGCUUUUGACUGUUUUACAGAAGCUGCCCAAAGAUUACAUAAUAGUCCUAAACUUUGGUUAAGGAUGGCUGAAUGUUGUAUUUAUUGUCAUAAACCAACAAAUGAGAGUGAUUUUAAUAUACCUAAACGGCGUAGAGAUUUGGUUCAAAAAGUUAUAGGUUCUGGAAUACAUAGAAAAAUUAUAUUAACAUCAUCACUUUCAAAAGAUACAAAAUAUCACACAGAUGGUUUGUCUUACGCCAUGCCACAAACUACUUUAGAAUUUGCACUAUUAUGUUUGAAGAAUGCUUCAUUUUUAUUACCUAAUGUUAGUGAAUUGAAUUUAUCUAUGACAACAAUUCCAAAUCCUCAAACAGUUUCAUUAGCACUAACACCUGGACAUAAUCUAAAUAGUCAGAAUUCCACUUUGAUUUCUCAAGCAAUGAGGAUAGAAGCGUUGAAUUUAAAGAUCAAUGUCUUAGCUGCCAGCGCAUAUGUAUCUUUAUGUCUUGGAGAUUACGUUGUUGCAUUAGAACAUGCCAAAGCACUAUUAAGUCUGAAUAAAGUGCCUGGAGCAUAUAAAAUGCUUGGUAAUUUGUAUGCCGCUGAAAGUUUGAUUUUUAUGGAUAAAAUUAAUGAAGCAAUUGAAUACUUGAACCCAGAAACUAUACAAGAUUUAAAUACUUUCGUUUCUAUACCCGAAAUUCAGGAUAAGGAUAAAGACAAAAUUGAAGAAGUAGUAUUGAAACCUGUGAAAGCAUGGUAUCCAACAACUGUUGCUACAGGCGUUGCAAUUUUUCGUUAUAAUUUAGCAGUUGCUUAUGCUAUACGUGGUGAACUCGAUAAAUCUGGUGAAACAUUAAAACAGGUUUGGUUGUCAAAAGGUAUAGACUGUGAUGUACCUAUACAUGUAAUAAUGUUAGCAUUGUAUAUAGAAUUACAACUUGGUCACACGGAUGUUUCGAAAUCUAUAAUAAAACAACAUUGUCCUCAGUAUCGUUAAUCAUUUUUUUAUUUGUACUUUAUAUAAUACCGUCUGUAAUCACAUCACCAUUUUAUGCGUAUCAAUAUGUAUAUAGAAAUGGAAAUGAUGACUACAUUUUAUUGUACAUAUAAACAAUAGUUGCAAUUUCUUGAUCUAUGUUAAAGGAUAAAUUAAAAAAAAGAAACUAAUCAAGAUUUUAAUUAUUCAGAUAUACCUGUGCAUAUAAGCACUUAUUUGUGUUUAUGUAAUAUUGUAAAAAAUAAUUCACAUAUACUAACACUUGUUUGACAAAAAUUAUUAGUUCAACUUUCAAUGCAUACUUCGGUUUUCUAUUUAAUGCAAUAACAAGUACACUUGGUACAAUUAUUACAUAAAUGUA